This 449-nucleotide ribosomal RNA is filed under the name uncultured bacterium. RNAcentral describes it as "partial 16S ribosomal RNA". It matches the Rfam family "Bacterial small subunit ribosomal RNA", at positions 29 to 523 of the family's 1533-position model. The record is from RNAcentral.
AAUGAACGCUGGCGGCAGGCCUAACACAUGCAGGUCGAACGGAUCCUUCGGGAUUAGUGGCGGACGGGUGAGUAACGCGUGGGAACAUACCCUUUGGUACGGAAUUGCCUCGGGAAACUGGGAGUAAUACCGUAUGUGGUCGAGAGACGAAAGAUUUAUCGCCAAGGGAUUGGCCCGCGUUGGAUUAGGUAGUUGGUGGGGUAAUGGCCUACCAAGCCGACGAUCCAUAGCUGGUUUGAGAGGAUGAUCAGCCACACUGGGACUGAGACACGGCCCAGACUCCUACGGGAGGCAGCAGUGGGGAAUCUUAGACAAUGGGGGAAACCCUGAUCUAGCCAUGCCGCGUGAUCGAUGAAGGCCUUAGGGUUGUAAAGAUCUUUCAGGUGGGAAGAUAAUGACUGUACCACCAGAAGAAGCCCCGGCUAACUCCGUGCCAGCCGCCGCCGUAA